Non-coding RNA from Triticum urartu, 249 nucleotides. NCBI's taxonomy places the organism in Eukaryota, Viridiplantae, Streptophyta, Magnoliopsida, Poales, Poaceae. The record is from RefSeq and is a predicted model, not a curated record.
GGCACCAGUGAUUGUUUCACCAAUUUUCUCGACUCAUAGUUCCCUUCCUCUAUCCACGCAACGUUGCCCAUUGUUGCUAAGUUGUUAAUUCAUCAGGCCCAUUAUUGCUGCUACAUAGUCUGUUCAUCUUGCCUGCCUUCUUAGGAGAAACCAAUUUACUGAAGGUUGGCAAUUCCAAAGUUAUUGCCUUUCUACUUCAAACUGAAAUAAUUCCUCUUUGUCUUUAAUAUGGAGAUGGGCACUGAACUU